CUACGGGAGGCUCCAGGCGCGAAACCUUUACAAUGCACGCAAGUGUGAUAAGGGAAUCCCAAGUGCUCAUGCUUAGCAUGGGCUUUUGCCAAGAGUAAAUAUCUUGGCGAAUAAGUGAUGGGUAAGACUGGUGCCAGCAGCCGCGGUAACACCAGCGUCACGAGUGGCAACCGUAUUUAUUGGGUCUAAAGCGUCCGUAGCCUGUUUGAUAAGUCUUUUGUGAAAUCGUUGAGCCUAACUUAACGUUGUGCAAGAGAUACUGUCAGACUUGGAAUUGGGAAGAGUCAGAGGUAUUCUGUGGGGAGCGGUAAAAUGCUAUAAUCCUCAGAGGAACACCAGUGGCGAAGGCGUCUGACUAGAACAACUUCGACGGUGAGGGACGAAAGCCAGGGGAGCAAAACGGAUUAGAUACCCCAGUAGUC
This 422-nucleotide ribosomal RNA is filed under the name uncultured archaeon. Its description in RNAcentral is "partial 16S ribosomal RNA". It matches the Rfam family "Archaeal small subunit ribosomal RNA", at positions 323 to 746 of the family's 1478-position model. The record is from RNAcentral.